This 469-nucleotide long non-coding RNA is filed under the name Olea europaea (common olive). RNAcentral's name for it is "long non-coding RNA (OEUR_LNC012435)". The record is from RNAcentral. Lineage: Eukaryota; Viridiplantae; Streptophyta; Magnoliopsida; Lamiales; Oleaceae.
UGCAUGCUUGUGUGAGCUUGAUAACCUUGCUAGCUAUGAUAUUAUUAUUGGACUGGUAUAAUUUACAAACUGUGGACAUAGUGCUAAAUAAAUUGGCCAAUACUUGUUGAUGUAAUACUUGACAUUCUUUAUGCACGCCAUUCAUGCUUUACAUGUUAGGUUAGUGAUUGGGGUUUUGAGCAUAAAGUAGGAAAAGAAUGAUAACCCUCUAUUAAAUUAACCCGUAAACCACCUUAAUACAGUUUGGUGAUAAUUGAGCUAUUAUAGGGGAGCAUUGAGAUGAGCGGGGGCUCCGUGCAUGAAUUUUAUUGUGUGGAUUGCCUAGACCAGUGGGAUGAAGAGUAGGUGAAAAUCUUAAAUUGGGGGUUGGUUUUGGAAACUAAAUGUCCAGAAAAACAACAAAGGGCAUAAAAUUAAUAUGCGAGAAUAAGACACUUCUUUUCAUGCCUUUAUGACUCGAGCAAGUAAG